Molecule: ribosomal RNA, 377 nt
Filed under: Daption capense
Lineage: Eukaryota; Metazoa; Chordata; Aves; Procellariiformes; Procellariidae
Description: 12S mitochondrial ribosomal RNA
Rfam family: Bacterial small subunit ribosomal RNA
Source: RNAcentral
NAUACUUACACCACUGAAGUAUCCGCCCGAGAACUACGAGCACAAACGCUUAAAACUCUAAGGACUUGGCGGUGCCCCAAACCCACCUAGAGGAGCCUGUUCUAUAACCGAUAACCCACGAUACACCCGACCGUUCUUUGCCAAAGCAGCCUACAUACCGCCGUCGCCAGCUCACCUUUUCUGAAAGCAUAACAGUGAGCAUAAUAGUCCUCAACGCCACUAAUAAGACAGGUCAAGGUAUAGCCCAUAGAGCGGAAGAAAUGGGCUACAUUUUCUAAAAUAGAAAACUCACGGAAGGGGAUAUGAAACUAGCCCCCAGAAGGCGGAUUUAGCAGUAAAGCGGGAUAAUGACUGCCCUCUUUAAGCUGGCUCUGNGG